Molecule: ribosomal RNA, 681 nt
Filed under: uncultured ciliate
Lineage: Eukaryota; Ciliophora
Description: SSU rRNA
Rfam family: Eukaryotic small subunit ribosomal RNA
Source: RNAcentral
UUGGAGGUAGUUAUCGGACUACCAUGGCGUUCACGGGUAACGGAGGAUUAGGAGUUCGAUUCCGGAGAGAAGCCUGAGAAACGGCUACCACAUCCAAGGAAGGCAGCAGCCGCGUAAAUUACCCAAUCCUGACUCAGGGAGGUAGUGACAAGAAAUAACAAGCGGUGGCCUAGCCACCGAAUUGCAAUGAGCCGAAUUUACACCACUUAGUGAGGAUCGAUUGGGAGGGCAAGUCUGGGUGCCAGCAGCCGCGGUAAUUCCAGCUCCAAUAGCGUAUAUUAAAGUUGUUGCAGUUAAAAAGCUCGUAGUUGGAUUUCUGGCGGGGACCCAAGUACCCCUGGUGGGUGUGCUCGGGCCCGGCCAUCCUUCUGUCAACUUUCGCGCGUCCUUCACCGGUCGGCAAAGGGAUCAGAUAAUUUACCUUGAGAAAAUUAGAGUGUUUCAGAGCAGGCUUUCGCCGGAAUACAUUAGCAUGGAAUAAUGGAAUAGGACUGAGGUCUCGUUGUUGGUUACGCGGACUCCAGUAAUGAUUAAUAGGGACAGUUGGGGGCAUUAGUAUUUAUUAGCUAGAGGUGGAAUUCUCUAAUUUGAUAAAGACUAACUUAUGCGAAAGCAUUUGCCAAGGAUGUUUUCAUUAAUCAAGAACGAAAGUUAGGGGAUCAAAGACGAUCAGAUACCGUC